UAUGCAAUUGAGAGGCCAUGCUGCUGCUGCUGCUGCUGAGUCGCUUCAGUCAUGUCCGACUCUGUGCUACCUCAUAGAUGGCAGCCCACCAGGCUCCCCCGUCCCUGGGAUUCUCCAGCUCUUGAUGUGGCACUUAUGUUUUUGGUCAAGCCAGAAGACAUUUGGAAGAAAGACUAGUAAAUACAGACAAGGGCUGGUGAGCAGGUGCUCAGGGAGGCCAUCUGCCAUGGUUACAGAGAAAGAUCCCACAAUGGAAACCACCCACAGUAAACCCAAGCAUGGUGCUUGCUGCAGCUGCUGCUAAGUCACUUCAGUCGUGUCUGACUCUGUGUGACCCCAUAGACGGCAGCCCAACAGGCUCCUCCAUCCCUGGGAUUCUCCAAGCAAGAACACUGGAGUGGGUUGCCAUUUCCUUCUCCAAUGCAUGAAAGUGAAAAGUGAAAGUGAAGUCGUGUCUGACUUUUCGCGAUCCCAUGGACUGCAGUCUACCAGGCUCCUCCGUCCAUGGGAUUUUCCAGGCAAGAGUACUGGAGUGGGGUGCCAUCUCUUAGCACAGUAUAAAUUCUCAAGAAAUGUUAAUCAUUAUU
Long non-coding RNA from Bos taurus (domestic cattle), 587 nucleotides. The record is from Ensembl. Lineage: Eukaryota; Metazoa; Chordata; Mammalia; Artiodactyla; Bovidae.